UACGGAGGGUGCAAGCGUUAUCCGGAUUUACUGGGUUUAAAGGGUGCGUAGGUGGGCAAGUAAGUCAGUGGUGAAAUCUUCGAGCUUAACUCGGAAACUGCCAUUGAUACUAUUUGUCUUGAAUACUUUGGAGGUAAGCGGAAUAUGUCAUGUAGCGGUGAAAUGCUUAGAUAUGACAUAGAACACCAAUUGCGAAGGCAGCUUACUACACAGUUAUUGACACUGAGGCACGAAAGCGUGGGGAUCAAACAGG
Molecule: ribosomal RNA, 253 nt
Filed under: uncultured bacterium
Lineage: Bacteria
Description: partial 16S ribosomal RNA
Rfam family: Bacterial small subunit ribosomal RNA
Source: RNAcentral